CAUCCCCGCACGAGCGCCUCCGUAUUGUCCUUGCUGCCGGAAAGAGGAACCCCAGCGACAGAGCGGGGCACGGCGGGAGCGGAGCCGACGGCGGCGCGAUGCCUGCGCCCCCUCUCCUCCGCUCAGUCCCCCGCGCUGCUCCCCCCUUGGCUCCGGCGGCGACUCGCAGUGCGCAGCGGCUCGGCCCGGCCUCGGCCCCGGCCCGGCCCCGUCACGUGGGCGUCUAGACACCGUGUCGCUCCAGGGGAAAAAAAAAACCCUAUAUAUUAUAUUUACCUCCAACCGCCUUACACAAUCGACGACUGGGGUUGCUGAAAGGUUGUGGGUCCCCCCCUUCCCCUUCCCUUAUCCCAAUCUCCAUCCGUGCCCCAGGAUGAGGGGGCCCCCUCCGGGAGCACGGCGAGGGUGCGGAGCGGCUGGUCUCUUCCCUACACCCAGCGGGGCAGAGCAGAGGGAGCCUCCGGGGCCGGGGUGUGACGAAGCCCACUGUGCUGUUCUGUGAAUGUUCUGGACAUUCCUGGGAAAUGGUCGAUGAUCACCCAGGAAGGACUCAUUCAUUCGUUAAUAGUCAUGAUUUUAUCUGGGCGAGUCUGGGAAAUCUUUUGAAUAGAAAGGAAAGCCCUGCUUCUGGCCAUGUGGGUCAGAGGCAUGGUUGGAUCUUUAUAAUUUUUAUACAGUUACAAAGCAUGAAUUAUCUCUAUCAUAUACUACAGCGUGAACAGUAGAACACAAUAUAAAUAUAGCUUGCUUUUUGCAAUAAAUCGGCUUCACUUCAUCAUAUUGAUCAUGGCAUGAUGUCCCGUUCGUGAUCCUCCGCAGCAGAGGAUGGGGAAACUGAGUCACCAAGAGGCUGUGCAGCUCUACCGGCCCUGCUGCACUCUGUGGCAGAGCUGAGAAGUCCAGAUAGACUUCCUAGCGCCAGGUUUCGCAGGGCAGAAGCCCCCAAGGGUCCCCAUCCCACAUGUACUCCCACAGAGGUGUAGCUCCUUUUUCAUAUGAUAAGUGCAGGUGCAUAAGUUGCUUCAAGGUCACUCAGUAAGUCAGUUAUCACAUUGGAAAGGAAAGCCAAGGCUUAAAUCAUGGCUGCUGAAAGCUAAUCUAAUUCUAAAACAGUUGCACCCAACUAAAUGGCAAUACCAGCCAUAAACCACAUAAAACUAAUACACCAUGCAGGCAGGGCAUCCCUGGGGUGCCUGUCCUGAAUACCUGCCUUUGGUGCUGGCAGGAGAGCAGGAAUAAUUUUAAAGCCCAGUCAUGCAAACAUUAAUGUGAGCAGGUCAGUGGGAACAAACAAAGAGAAGCUGGAAAGAAAGGAACCAGGAAAGAAGGAAUAGGAGAAAGGCUCCAAGAGCAGGAGGUGCAGUUAGUUCAGAUUUUGCCCCAAUCUCAUAGGGGAGGGGUUCUUUACCAAUGAGUGAGAUAAAGAACAGCUUUAAAUUAGAUGCUGGUUUUUGGAAGUCUUUUUUCUGUUAGCUGUAAUAAGUGGUAACAUCUGUAGUGCAGAGGAAAUUAGCUUGCCAGGAUGGCAUUGGCAGAAUAUGUGGCUUACUUGGGCCAAUGCUACUGGAGCAGAUUCUUUUUGUUUAUCCUUAGCCAUGCCCUGAGAUCCUUUUCGCACAUGUCUAAUUGGUAUCCCAGUGAGUAAUUUUACUGGUUUUGCAAAGUGGGUAAGAGCUAGAGGAAAGCCAUAUGUGGGAAUAAAUAGAUCAAGUGCAGAGAAUCAUUGGUGCAACAUCACCAAAGGUAGUACAAAAUUGGACAUAUGCUAAAGGCUGGGAAUUAAGCCAAACGGCGAAGGCUUCCAAACAGGUAUGAUAACACAAUCACUGAAUGAAACUGGACUAGAACCCAAAGAACUAGACCUGUUAGGAUCAGUUCCUGGGAAUUAUUGCUUGUUUUUUAACUACUUUCUGGACCCAAAAAGGACUAAUAUGAGCAAUUUUCUAGUCCCACAUCCCAAGAAUAAUAGUGUUGUUCUUAAUCCCAAUUCUCCAUGGUAUAAGAACAUGGCCAAAUACUGCCACAAUUGGACUUACCAUGGCAGUGCUGGUGCAAAUGUGACUGUAAGAAAGCUUCCACCAGGUAUCUUUUUAAUUUGUGGGGAUAGAGCCUGGCCUGCAGUUCCAAGUAAUCCAUUUGGUGGACCUUGUUACUUAGGAAAACUAACCAUGUUUGUCCCUAGCAUGUGAGAGAUGCUGAAUCAGACUAUCUGGAGAGCAGGACAUAGCAAAAGAACUAAAAGAGCAAUCACAAGCUUAAGAUCUAAUUGUAAGAUCAUGUAGAGCUUUGGGGUGCUCCAGCAAGAAUCAUAGCAUCAGUCCUUGCUCCAGGUGUUGCGGCUGCUCAGGCUUUGACUACAUUGAAUAAGUUGGGAUGCUGGACAGCUAAGCAACUGAACACAACUUCAGCUAUUCUAAAUCAAAUGCUCACUGAUGUAGGUAGUAUUAGACAUGGCACACUGCAAAAUAGAGAGAGCUGCUAUAGAUUUUUCAUUGUUAGCACAUGGGCAUGGGUGUGAGGAGUUUGAAGGGAUGCGUUGUAUGAACCUUUCUGACAAUUCUGCAUCCAUUCACAAAAAACUCAAACAACUACAAGAUAACGAAGAAAUUGACUGUGAAUGACUGGGGUUUGGAUGAAUGGUUCAAGGGAUUGGGAAUAACUAGAUGGUUGAAAGAUAUGGUAAAGGGAACUUGGUUAGUUUUAGUAGUUAUUAUUUUAUUGCCUUGCAUUAUUCCAUGCAUAAUUAAGUUGGUGACCCUUAGUAGAGAACACAGGAAAGAGGGUCUGGCUGGUGCAAGAAGAAGAAGGGGGAAUUGUAGCAAUGUAUCUGAACAAUUUAGGCCUCAGUGUGCACCAGCCAUACCAUCUGUAACUGUUCUUAUCAGAAUUUCCUCAGGGCACCGUGGAAUUCAUGAAGGUUGCUAAGACAUAAACUGUGCUAAAAUAAGAACAAAGAAGCUGAGAGACUGCAUACCAAGAUCGCAAGAACUAGAUAACAGAGGACUGUAGAACACCUGCACGGUAACCAAUCAUGGAUGCUGAGAAAUGGAGGCAGAGAAGGAGGGAACAAGACAAAGGCACCAGUCAAGAAGUGUGAUCUUAGUAGUUUGUAGAAUCUAUAAAAGUGUGUGUAAUGUAAAGAAUAAACAGCUUCUGCUUGAUCAU
Molecule: long non-coding RNA, 3165 nt
Organism: Haemorhous mexicanus (house finch)
Lineage: Eukaryota; Metazoa; Chordata; Aves; Passeriformes; Fringillidae
Exons: 2
Source: RefSeq, a predicted model, not a curated record